RNAcentral lists this ribosomal RNA (711 nucleotides) under Janibacter sp. KLBMP 1307. RNAcentral describes it as "bacterial SSU rRNA". It matches the Rfam family "Bacterial small subunit ribosomal RNA", at positions 83 to 808 of the family's 1533-position model. Lineage: Bacteria; Bacillati; Actinomycetota; Actinomycetes; Micrococcales; Intrasporangiaceae. The record is from RNAcentral.
CCGAGGGGAUCAGUGGCGAACGGGUGAGUAACACGUGAGUAACCUGCCCCGGACUCUGGAAUAAGCGCUGGAAACGGCGUCUAAUACCGGAUACGAGACGCAACCGCAUGGUUAGCGUCUGGAAAGUUUUUCGGUCUGGGAUGGACUCGCGGCCUAUCAGCUUGUUGGUGAGGUAAUGGCUCACCAAGGCGACGACGGGUAGCCGGCCUGAGAGGGCGACCGGCCACACUGGGACUGAGACACGGCCCAGACUCCUACGGGAGGCAGCAGUGGGGAAUAUUGCACAAUGGGCGAAAGCCUGAUGCAGCGACGCCGCGUGAGGGAUGACGGCCUUCGGGUUGUAAACCUCUUUCAGCAGGGAAGAAGCGAAAGUGACGGUACCUGCAGAAGAAGCACCGGCUAACUACGUGCCAGCAGCCGCGGUAAUACGUAGGGUGCGAGCGUUGUCCGGAAUUAUUGGGCGUAAAGAGCUUGUAGGCGGUUUGUCGCGUCUGCUGUGAAAAUCCGGGGCUCAACCCCGGACUUGCAGUGGGUACGGGCAGACUAGAGUGUGGUAGGGGAGACUGGAAUUCCUGGUGUAGCGGUGAAAUGCGCAGAUAUCAGGAGGAACACCGAUGGCGAAGGCAGGUCUCUGGGCCACUACUGACGCUGAGAAGCGAAAGCAUGGGGAGCGAACAGGAUUAGAUACCCUGGUAGUCCAUGCCGUAAACG